This 808-nucleotide long non-coding RNA is filed under the name Homo sapiens (human). Its description in RNAcentral is "PRKAG2 antisense RNA 1 (PRKAG2-AS1)". The record is from RNAcentral. Lineage: Eukaryota; Metazoa; Chordata; Mammalia; Primates; Hominidae.
AUGCCUGUGCCCAAGUGGGGAAUCUGGAACCAGUAAGCCCGUUCGUGCAUAAAUGUAAUCCUCGGCCGCAGAAUAAACCAGCUCGGAGCCUGCAGCUGGGUUCAUCAAGGUUUGCGCAGUGGAUCCGCGAAUGAAGCCAGCCUGGAAGAUCCCCAGUCUCGAGACAGAGCCUGACAGGGGCAGAUGCACUGGAAGGACCCUGUCUGGGUUUAGCAACCAAGCAGCCAUCCUGGCCCCACAGGUGUGGGACUUCUGGGUCUUCUCCUGGCUGGCUUCUUGCUAGAGGAUUUCAAGAGACCCAGCAAGACUGUAUUGUCCCACUGAAUGCUCAAGAUAUUGGUUAGAAGUAGAAAAGGGGAGGGGGUAGUAUUUAGCCUCUGUCCCCACUAAAAAUUAUUCCCAAUUGUCAUUUGUGUCAUCUGUUUAGCUUACAGUUUUAAUCCUUGUCAAAAUGAUCAUUUGCCAGGGUGCAUAAAACACCCUAUUUGAUGAGAACUGGUUUUAAAGGAAAAUGGGGCCAUCAGAAGGAAGCCGGUUGGUGUGAAGAGACGUCUGGGAAGAGCCCCUGGCGAGGGCCCUCAUUCCACUGGGUGACCCAGAAGGAGAAAACCGCGAUGGCGCUUCUCAUUUGAAAUGUUUUCUUUAUGGACAGUGUUUAGCAAUUGUUAUAAUGUGUACUUUUGUUGAUUGAUCUGUAUACAUAUGUAAAAUAAUUUGUUCUCUGAGUUAAUUUUGUUGGAACAAAGACUUUAGUGCUUCCUACAUUAAAACAUUUUACUGUAUUGCCUGCAAAAAAAAAAAAAAAAAA